UGGGGAAUCUUGCGCAAUGGGCGAAAGCCUGACGCAGCAACGCCGCGUGCGGGAAGAAGGCUUUCGGGCUGUAAACCGCUUUCAGCAGGAACGAAAAUGACGGUACCUGCAGAAGAAGGAGCGGCCAACUAUGUG
This 135-nucleotide ribosomal RNA is filed under the name uncultured bacterium. Its description in RNAcentral is "partial 16S ribosomal RNA". It matches the Rfam family "Bacterial small subunit ribosomal RNA", at positions 355 to 507 of the family's 1533-position model. The record is from RNAcentral.